UUUAUUUGAGAGUUUGAUCCUGGCUCAGGAUGAACGCUGGCGGCGUGCCUAACACAUGCAAGUUGAGCGAUUUACUUCGGUAAAGAGCGGCGGACGGGUGAGUAACGCGUGGGUAACCUACCCUGUACACACGGAUAACAUACCGAAAGGUAUGCUAAUACGGGAUAAUAUAUUUGAGAGGCAUCUCUUGAAUAUCAAAGGUGAGCCAGUACAGGAUGGACCCGCGUCUGAUUAGCUAGUUGGUAAGGUAACGGCUUACCAAGGCGACGAUCAGUAGCCGACCUGAGAGGGUGAUCGGCCACAUUGGAACUG
RNAcentral lists this ribosomal RNA (312 nucleotides) under Clostridioides difficile. Its description in RNAcentral is "bacterial SSU rRNA". It matches the Rfam family "Bacterial small subunit ribosomal RNA", at positions 1 to 321 of the family's 1533-position model. Lineage: Bacteria; Bacillati; Bacillota; Clostridia; Peptostreptococcales; Peptostreptococcaceae. The record is from RNAcentral.